CGGAGAACUGCGGGUGAAGCCAUGCAGGGGAGUGUUUAGGAUCGUCUACGCAGGAGCGCUGACAAAAUUGUUGAAAUAUCCACGGAUUUUCUUAUCCCCGCAUAAAACAGCAAUACUAGAGUGGGGUUAUGGUUGUCAAAAGAUUGAAGAAGCACGAGAGAAGAUACCGGACCUAAUGAGCAUCAGCCUGGGGGAACUUAUACAGAGGAAAGAGAGAAGAUGGACCAAUUGGAUGCUGGCGAUGGUAAGUUAUCUAGGUCACCAUGACUCUCUUAACUCCCUCAAAAUGACAGGUAUGUUCUUCUUUACAUCUUGCAUUGGUUACAGCAAAAGUUUAUGCUUGAUUGUUGUGUACAAAUUCUUUC
This is a long non-coding RNA of Esox lucius (northern pike), 365 nucleotides long. Lineage: Eukaryota; Metazoa; Chordata; Actinopteri; Esociformes; Esocidae. The record is from Ensembl.